Molecule: ribosomal RNA, 536 nt
Filed under: Pseudomonas sp. LL22
Lineage: Bacteria; Pseudomonadati; Pseudomonadota; Gammaproteobacteria; Pseudomonadales; Pseudomonadaceae
Also listed under: 1 other name
Description: bacterial SSU rRNA
Rfam family: Bacterial small subunit ribosomal RNA
Source: RNAcentral
UGCAAGUCGAGCGGCAGCACGGGUACUUGUACCUGGUGGCGAGCGGCGGACGGGUGAGUAAUGCCUAGGAAUCUGCCUGGUAGUGGGGGAUAACGCUCGGAAACGGACGCUAAUACCGCAUACGUCCUACGGGAGAAAGCAGGGGACCUUCGGGCCUUGCGCUAUCAGAUGAGCCUAGGUCGGAUUAGCUAGUUGGUGAGGUAAUGGCUCACCAAGGCGACGAUCCGUAACUGGUCUGAGAGGAUGAUCAGUCACACUGGAACUGAGACACGGUCCAGACUCCUACGGGAGGCAGCAGUGGGGAAUAUUGGACAAUGGGCGAAAGCCUGAUCCAGCCAUGCCGCGUGUGUGAAGAAGGUCUUCGGAUUGUAAAGCACUUUAAGUUGGGAGGAAGGGCAGUUACCUAAUACGUAUCUGUUUUGACGUUACCGACAGAAUAAGCACCGGCUAACUCUGUGCCAGCAGCCGCGGUAAUACAGAGGGUGCAAGCGUUAAUCGGAAUUACUGGGCGUAAAGCGCGCGUAGGUGGUUUGUUA